ACUUCACUCACUUCGAACAUUCACAUUGUUCAGUAUGCAUACGACAUUGCAGUACACACAACCAAAUUACAAAGAGUUGACACAUGUUACGAUGUGCACAUUAAUUAGCCAUUGCACAUGCACAGAGGUCGCUCGUUGUAACUUUGGUCAAUACAACAACAGCACUUCAAUCACUCAUGACAGUCUCGAGCACACAACAAGCACAUCAACAAUCAUCCAAGAACAUUUCCAGUAGCAAACCACAGAUGCCCAGCAUACAUCAUGUUCGUCCAGACUUCUAACGACAUUCUGUCUCACGGAUAGCAUGGUGAUUAAGUCGAGGGUCGAUGACGGGGACGUUUGUUCGAAAUAUACGAACACUCUAUCUAUAAAUUACUAAGACUUAAGACUACUAAAAUUCCAUGAUUCACAUCAACGAUCACUGAUCACUACUCGAUCUAAUCAGACAUUCGUGCAACUAAACCAGGUCUAAGUAAUUUCUCAUUUGGAAACUAUAAAUUCGAGUUAUACCCGAUCUAAAACAUUUAUUAAUAACAAAUAACUUUAACAAUUCAAACUCUUGUAAAUUCAUGGAAAGUAAAAGUGGCAUUUUAGCAAACGUUUAUAUACAGUAUUGACAUAUUUACAUGCUUAAAACUAAUUCCUAGGUUACAUGGCUGACGUCUGACUACAAAAUGAUUAAAUAUUCACCGAACAUUUAAUAAACCUACACUGUAAAUUAAAUGAAGAGACGUUUCUUCUCACUUCAUCACUCUUUGAAUAAAUUAUCUUAAAUUCUACAAAAUAGAGAAUUUGGUUUUAUGUUUGAAAAGUGUGAAUUUCGUAAAUAUUUCUAUCAAAUUUCAUCAUUUCCAUAACCUUGCUGCGAGUAGGCCUAUUCUAUAUUCUCUACGGUCUUCCGAACAACAUUCCUAGUUGGUAUAAAGGUGUCUUUGUUUCUACACCAUCACUUGCUAAACAUAUCUAAUGCCUGCAUCUAGAUAUCAAAUCCUUUUCUCCUAAUAAUAAAAUCAUCCUAACUUUCCUGUUUCCAACCCAUCGCGCCACUUCAAUGGCCAUUCCAAGGUCUCUCCACCCCGGCCUAUUUCCUGCCACUACAUCUCCUAGUAAUAUCUGGCCUCGAGAUUUUAUCUCCCAAAUAUUAGACUAACAAAGUCCUUUUUAUACCAACAACUUUCUAUGUUCAACCUGGUCCAUAACAAGACAUAAAACUUAACAUUCCAACCAUUCUAACUCGUUGCAUUACAAUCAAGUAAUGUUCUGAUUAAAUAUUUAAAAAUAAUUUUAUAAGAAUUAACACACUACCAAAAUUCAAGUUAUUAAUAAUUGUAUGUGUGCAUGAAUAACUUGGAAGAAUGAGAGAGAAGGAGGGGGGGGGGGGUAGGAGUUAAAACAUCAAGAGGGGUUCCAUGCUGUCGAAGACUUGAAGAAACAUUGAAGCAAACAUGGUGAAGACUGCUUAAAUUCGUUCCCUAUCCAGGAUUGAAUGUAAGAAAGCAUUGAAGAAAACAUGGUGAAGACUGCUUAAAUUCGUUCCCUAUCCAGGAUUGAAUGUAAGAAAGCAUUGAAGAAAACAUGGUGAAGACUGCUUAAAUUCGUUCCCUAUCCAGGAUUGAAUGUAAGAAAGCAUUGAAGAAAACAUGGUGAAGACUGCUUAAAUUCGUUCCCUAUCCGGGAUUGAAUGUAAGAAAGCAGCUA
This 1698-nucleotide long non-coding RNA is filed under the name Lytechinus variegatus (green sea urchin). RNAcentral's name for it is "uncharacterized LOC121410518". The record is from RNAcentral. Lineage: Eukaryota; Metazoa; Echinodermata; Echinoidea; Temnopleuroida; Toxopneustidae.